AUGCAAGUCGAACGAACUCUUCGGAGUUAGUGGCGGACGGGUGAGUAACACGUGGGAACGUGCCUUUAGGUUCGGAAUAACUCAGGGAAACUUGUGCUAAUACCGAAUGUGCCCUUCGGGGGAAAGAUUUAUCGCCUUUAGAGCGGCCCGCGUCUGAUUAGCUAGUUGGUGGUGUAAUGGACCACCAAGGCGACGAUCAGUAGCUGGUCUGAGAGGAUGAUCAGCCACAUUGGGACUGAGACACGGCCCAAACUCCUACGGGAGGCAGCAGUGGGGAAUCUUGCGCAAUGGGCGAAAGCCUGACGCAGCCAUGCCGCGUGAAUGAUGAAGGUCUUAGGAUUGUAAAAUUCUUUCACCGGGGACGAUAAUGACGGUACCCGGAGAAGAAGCCCCGGCUAACUUCGUGCCAGCAGCCGCGGUAAUACGAAGGGGGCUAGCGUUGCUCGGAAUUACUGGGCGUAAAGGGAGCGUAGGCGGACAUUUAAGUCAGGGGUGAAAUCCCGGGGCUCAACCUCGGAAUUGCCUUUGAUACUGGGUGUCUUGAGUAUGAGAGAGGUGUGUGGAACUCCGAGUGUAGAGGUGAAAUUCGUAGAUAUUCGGAAGAACACCAGUGGCGAAGGCGACACACUGGCUCAUUACUGACGCUGAGA
RNAcentral lists this ribosomal RNA (650 nucleotides) under Brevundimonas nasdae. RNAcentral's name for it is "bacterial SSU rRNA". It matches the Rfam family "Bacterial small subunit ribosomal RNA", at positions 55 to 751 of the family's 1533-position model. Lineage: Bacteria; Pseudomonadati; Pseudomonadota; Alphaproteobacteria; Caulobacterales; Caulobacteraceae. The record is from RNAcentral.